RNAcentral lists this ribosomal RNA (703 nucleotides) under uncultured Bacteroidales bacterium. Its description in RNAcentral is "bacterial SSU rRNA". It matches the Rfam family "Bacterial small subunit ribosomal RNA", at positions 40 to 731 of the family's 1533-position model. The record is from RNAcentral. Lineage: Bacteria; Pseudomonadati; Bacteroidota; Bacteroidia; Bacteroidales.
CUACAGGCUUAACACAUGCAAGUCGAGGGGCAGCAUUUUAGUUUGCUUGCAAACUAAAGAUGGCGACCGGCGCACGGGUGAGUAACACGUAUCCAACCUGCCGAUAACUCGGGGAUAGCCUUUCGAAAGAAAGAUUAAUAUCCGAUAGUAUAUUAAAACCGCAUGGUUUUACUAUUAAAGAAUUUCGGUUAUCGAUGGGGAUGCGUUCCAUUAGUUUGUUGGCGGGGUAACGGCCCACCAAGACUACGAUGGAUAGGGGUUCUGAGAGGAAGGUCCCCCACAUUGGAACUGAGACACGGUCCAAACUCCUACGGGAGGCAGCAGUGAGGAAUAUUGGUCAAUGGACGAGAGUCUGAACCAGCCAAGUAGCGUGAAGGAUGACUGCCCUAUGGGUUGUAAACUUCUUUUAUAUGGGAAUAAAGUAUUCCACGUGUGGGAUUUUGUAUGUACCAUAUGAAUAAGGAUCGGCUAACUCCGUGCCAGCAGCCGCGGUAAUACGGAGGAUCCGAGCGUUAUCCGGAUUUAUUGGGUUUAAAGGGAGCGUAGGUGGAUUGUUAAGUCAGUUGUGAAAGUUUGCGGCUCAACCGUAAAAUUGCAGUUGAAACUGGCAGUCUUGAGUACAGUAGAGGUGGGCGGAAUUCGUGGUGUAGCGGUGAAAUGCUUAGAUAUCACGAAGAACUCCGAUUGCGAAGGCAGCUCACUA